Dendroctonus ponderosae (mountain pine beetle) is the source of this 3556-nucleotide RNA transcript. It is a transcript of the gene named condensin complex subunit 3, with no coding region annotated. The transcript is spliced from 18 exons. The record is from RefSeq and is a predicted model, not a curated record. Lineage: Eukaryota; Metazoa; Arthropoda; Insecta; Coleoptera; Curculionidae.
ACCUUAAGGCCGCUCCGUAAACGCAAGAAGCAGAACAUAUCAAUUGUCUUUAUAUAUGGUUUAAUUUAACCAAUCACGUUAAUGCAUUCUGAGGCUGUAUAACCUCAAAAGCUAACGUUUUAUCGUUUUGUUUAUGGUCAGUUUAAAAAUGUUACGUCAGUAUAUGUUGGUUCUUUUAAACCAGUUUUAGGUAUUUGUUAGUGCAUAUUUCGAACAAGUUUAUUGAUGUGUACGAUCAGUUUACCCUAAAGUGCCAUUUAGAUUAAAUGAUGAAGAAAUAUAUGAACGAAAAUAUGCCAGUGGAAAUGAUUAUUGAUUUACUAGAUGCUGCUCAGAAAACACCAGGCUGCCAUCAGAAAAACAGCUUUUUGUUAAAAAAAAUAUAUCAGCAGUCAGAUUUUGAACCAUUUUGGAAUGUAUUCACUUCGGUUAUAAAGGGAAUACUGAAAAUUGAUUAUAAACAGAAGGAUGUUUAUGUUGGGAGGAUGUUCGACUUUAUUAGCUUAUAUUGUACUACAUUGACAAAGGCAAAAACAUCAGACGAUGAGAGAGGUAUUGAUGAUCCGUUGAUUCAUAAAUUGCUUCAUUAUUUGUUAAAGACUAGUUCAGCAUCUUCGGACAGUAUUUGUUUCCGAUCUUAUCAGUUGUUAAACAAAAUUUUAAAUUGUUUGACGGAAUAUGAGAUGACUGAUGAUUUGUUUGCCUACAUGCAAAGUGUUUUAAUUGAUCGUUUGUUGGAUGAUAAUAGUGCGAUACGGUUACAAACAAUAGAUGCCAUUUGUCGGUUUCAAGAUCCAACAAAUCCUACGGAUCCCGUUAUUGAACGAUUUAUGAUGCUUUUGCAUGAUAGCGUGGCUCUGGUCCGACAGCGUUGCGUGGAAAACAUCGUUGUACGGCCCGAUUCCAUAAAGGGUAUUGUAGAAAGAAUAAACGACGUAAAUGUGAAUGUAAGAUUAGCAGCGUUCAAAAGAUUGUCGAAAUGCGUGAAAUCUAUUAAGAUUUCCGAUCGAAGAGAAAUUUUGUUUGCCGCAGUUUACGGCAAAGAUUCCAAAGUUAGUAAAUGCAUUUAUGCAGAGUUGCUGCCGGCAUGGUGGGAAACGUACGACUGCGACAUACUUAAGUUGAUGUUGUCUAUUAGACUGGAUGGAGAUGAAACUGAUAUGAAAGAAACCAGCAAAUUAUUCGAUAUAAUGUUGAAUAAUUUUUUUUUCAAGGGCAGACCUCAGAACAAGCUUGUGGCAGUUUUACCAUUAACAAAUGAAAAAUUAAUCCCAUAUGAACAGUUAAACGUAGAAAUUCUAUCAUACUGGCGGGCGUUAGUUUCACUAUUUACUAAAAAUAAUGAAUUUGAACUUUACGUUGAAAAUGUUAUUCCAGAUGUGGCAAUAUUUUGUGAGUAUAUAAAAGAUUAUUUAUCUAGUCAAACUGAUGAGACCUAUCUGAUACAGCAAUACAUUAUGCAGGAAUUAUUUCUCAUUAUCAGAACGUACGAUCUUUCCGAUAGCUACAGCGCUAAAAGUGUUCAUAUGUUGAUUGAACACUUUUUAAAAAAUGCCAUUCUGGUAGAUGAUACUAUUGAAGUAAUCACAGGCACUUUGCAGUUGAUUUUCCCGGACUGCGAGGCACAGUCUCAAGUUGUAAUGAAAAUAAUUUCGGAUCUAUUGUACCCUGUGGACGCUGAUGGGGAAUUAGAACAGCAGUUGGACAAAGAUGUUCAGCUUGCCAAAUUGAAAGUAGAGCUAAGUACGUUACGUAACGAUCUAGAUGAGGCCAUAGCAAAAACUGAUUUUCAAAAAGCUGCAGAACUUAAAGAUGCAAUUCAGUUAGUAUCAGCUGAAGUAAAAGAAUUUGAAAAUGCAGUUCCUGCACCUAUCCAAGCUAAGACACAGGAUAUUCCAACGAUUUGUAAAUGCCUAGAUAUUUCUUGGGCCUUGCUUCGUUCUUAUAAGAAAAGCAACCUGACAACAACGUUGAAACAUAUGCAAACCGAGUUUGUAACGAAUCUUUUAAUUCAUGAACAUGAAGCAGUUCGAUUUAAAGCUUUGAGAUCGUAUGCGGUAUGCUGCGUACAUGACAAAACGACCGCCUGCACAGGAAUACACGUUUUUGCGUUGCCGAUAUUUGCAUAUCAAGGUGGUCAAGAAUGUGAAUCCCGUACACUCAUCACGUGUAUAUCAGCGAUAUCAGAUCUUUUAAGACUGUAUGGUUCGGACUUGUUGCCCAGCCCAGACCGCGAUCAAUUAUCUGACAGUGUGAAUGAAGAGCACGUAACAAUUUUCACUGGGGGAACAUCACUAUCCGCACUAGUACAAGGACUUGUAGAUUUAAUGGAAAAUGAGGUUUACGAGGUUCAACUAAAGGCAACAGAGGGUUUGUGCAAAUUAAUUCUCGAUGAACGGAUAUCGUCACCUAUAGUGAUUUCGAGAUUGAUAUUGAAAUGGUGCAAUCCUGUUAUUGAUGAAGAGUUGGGAACUCGAUCUCUGCAGCAAUUUAUCGGACACGUAUUGGAAAAAGUUCCUAAUUUAAACAGCAGCCAUGAACAAUUAGAGGAGGCAGUGUUCAAUACCAUUGAGACUUUAGCUCGAGCACCUCAAACUAGCCCUCUAUCAAAAGUCGACAUUAAUGGAAUUGCGAAAUUCUUGCUGGCUCUAUGCAAGGUGUCUCGUCAGAGUUCACAGUUGCAAUCUAACAUAGCAUUGGCAUUGUGCAUCAAGAUAAACCAGGCUCCGCAAGAUAAGAUGUGUAUCAUAUUUUCAAAGAUGCUCUUAAUGCUUGAUUUAGUUGAGAAUCAACGCAUCUUAAGGGAAAUGGUGCCACUGUUAGAAGAUGCUCGAGAGUAUACCUCUAAAACUAUACGACUAAAGCUAACGAAAAUGUUAAGCAAUAUAAAUGAAAAAUUAGUGAUCGAACCCGGAUGUCUGUCGGAAAUUUCCGAAGAGUCGUCAUUCGAUUUGGAUGAUGAAACAUGUGGGUCAGAAGAAAAGGAAGUAGAUGAGGAAGAAAUGCAAGAAAACGACUCGGUUUCUACGACUGCAUAAAAUAUUUCAGAUUUAUUAAAUGAAAAUCACAUUCAUCAUGGUCAAAAGUAGAGAUUAUAACAUGUUUCGAUGAUAAAUUUGACCUGCGUAUAGUCAUUAAACGUAUUAUUAUACGGCAUUUAAUGCAUGCAUAUUGAACAAUACUGUAAGAAACUAUUUGAUUUUAUGAUUGUCAAAAAAUUAAACUCACCUAACAGUCAAUCAAAAUAAAAUUUAGCGUUUUAAAGUCAACGAAAUAAUUAAGUCCAUUUUAUUGCAAAUACACUAAAACAUGAUAGAUGAAGAUGACUAUAACAAUGACUUUAAAAUAGUGCUUAUAAUAAUUUUACUGUUUGUUGUUUUAAUAUUCCUGCUAGUGCUGGUUACCUACAUAUUUCUAGCAUUUAAGUAUUUAAAUUAAACUAAAAUAGAAAUGUACCUAUUUGAAUAAGUAGACGAAUGGUUACUCAAGUAUAAUACAACCCAGGACCCAAAUGUACUUGAAUAAUUAUACAAAUAAAGAUGCUCUGUUAAGAAAA